Molecule: non-coding RNA, 27 nt
Filed under: Rattus norvegicus (Norway rat)
Lineage: Eukaryota; Metazoa; Chordata; Mammalia; Rodentia; Muridae
Source: RNAcentral
UCCUUCCAUUGAUCUCACUAUUGCCUG